UACAGAGGGUGCAAGCGUUGUUCGGAAUUACUGGGCGUAAAGAGCUCGUAGGUGGUUUGUCGCGUUGUCCGUGAAAACUCACAACUCAAUUGUGGGCGUGCGGGCGAUACGGGCAGACUGGAGUACUGCAGGGGAGACUGGAAUUCCUGGUGUAGCGGUGGAAUGCGCAGAUAUCAGGAGGAACACCGGUGGCGAAGGCGGGUCUCUGGGCAGUAACUGACGCUGAGGAGCGAAAGCGUGGGGAGCGAACAGG
This 253-nucleotide ribosomal RNA is filed under the name uncultured bacterium. RNAcentral describes it as "partial 16S ribosomal RNA". It matches the Rfam family "Bacterial small subunit ribosomal RNA", at positions 524 to 776 of the family's 1533-position model. The record is from RNAcentral.